This 460-nucleotide ribosomal RNA is filed under the name uncultured bacterium. RNAcentral's name for it is "partial 16S ribosomal RNA". It matches the Rfam family "Bacterial small subunit ribosomal RNA", at positions 338 to 795 of the family's 1533-position model. The record is from RNAcentral.
CCUACGGGGGGCAGCAGUGAGGAAUAUUGGUCAAUGGCCGGAAGGCUGAACCAGCCAUGCCGCGUGAAGGUCAGUGCCCUAUGGGCGUUAAACUUCUUUUGUGCGGGAGCAAUAAUGGUCACGUGUGGCCAGACGAGAGUACCGUACGAAUAAGCAUCGGCUAACUCCGUGCCAGCAGCCGCGGUAAUACGGGGGAUGCAAGCGUUAUCCGGAUUUAUUGGGUUUAAAGGGUGCGUAGGCUGUGAGGUAAGUCAGCGGUGAAAUGCCCCCGCUCAACGGGGUGAAGUGCCAUUGAUACUGCCUGGCUGGAAGGCGGAUGCCGUGGGAGGAAUGUGUGGUGUAGCGGUGAAAUGCAUAGAUAUCACACAGAACACCGAUUGCGAAGGCAUCUCACGAAUCCGCGAUUGACGCUGAUGCACGAAAGCGUGGGUAUCAAACAGGAUUAGAUACCCUUGUAGUC